UGACUUAGAUCAGAUGACCUGCAGAGUUUGAAAAUGUUUUGCAUUUGGCUGUCUACAGAAGAAAUUUGGCAAUCCUUGGCCUAGAUGAUUCAGAAAAGUCCUUCCAUCUUGAUGCUUCCAAAAACAUGCAUUUAUUCCUUUAUUCAGAUGGAUGUCAGAGAAAUGAUGAUCAAAGAGCAUAAAUCUUUGAGGAGUGAUGGAGAGCGACCUCCGGAGGCCAGUGGAUGAACUGUCAUAUGGACAAGUCUGGUGAUAGGAAACUCAAAUCUGGUUAAGAGUCUAUGGGCAGUCCUAAGGAGAAAGAAAGACACCACCUAACUACAGGCAUGACGUGAGUAUUUUAUUGUUUCCAUGAAACUCUUUACAUUAUUAUAAAUUUCAAACCUUGUAUACCCCUAGUAAGUGUAGCCAUGCCAACCUUUUGUCACAAUGAAAAUGAAAAGAAAAUGCACGGUUUUCUGAAUACACAGGU
This 472-nucleotide long non-coding RNA is filed under the name Mustela putorius furo (domestic ferret). Its description in RNAcentral is "lncRNA (ENSMPUG00000024050.1)". The record is from RNAcentral. Lineage: Eukaryota; Metazoa; Chordata; Mammalia; Carnivora; Mustelidae.